This is a long non-coding RNA of Electrophorus electricus (electric eel), 1087 nucleotides long. Lineage: Eukaryota; Metazoa; Chordata; Actinopteri; Gymnotiformes; Gymnotidae. The record is from Ensembl.
UUCUGAACUGUCAUUUUCGAAGGUUGAGCGGACUGCAGAUACGCGUGUUUAAAGGGGUUCCACAGAUAUGCACAACUACAGCAUCCUGAGAUCAGUCCUGAUGGGUCUACUGAUCUUAGCUGAUGUGCUACCCUCAGAAGUGGAGCUUAAAUGGGUGUCAUUCACCCAUCACAAACUAUACCAAGAAGCCUCCAGGAAAACAGUAUUUAUAAAACGUAUUGUUUUAUGUUUAAGAAAUACGUUAUACACAAUUUCUGCUCAUUUCCAUUUAUACUUUGGCUCAUUAAAAGUACAAACAGCUGCAACCGUGCUGCUUCCAAAUGUUCCAGCGCUCUUCUCAGGCUACACGGCCUCUUUCCCUGAAGUCCUCUAGUGCGUUUCAAGAGUCAAUCAGAAUACGUCUGAUACAUUAAACACCUCCAAUUACAGAUUAUCACAUUAAGUACAUUUUUUGUUGAACAACCAUAUGAGAUAAACACAAUAACAUUCAUAUACCCACACUGUUGCUUUUUAAAGCACAAUUUCUUAGACGCUUAGUGUAAUUUGUUAUUAUUUUUAUUUUACUUUUUUUUUUUACUGUGGCUACAUUUACAAUUUUGUAUUUGUCUAAUUUAGACUUUAUGCAGUAUUUACUGGGGAUACCCAUACAGUUCCCUGUAUUUGGUUAUUGUAGUGUUUGUAGUAUUUACUGGGGUUACAUGUACAGUUCUGUGCAUUUGGUUAGUGUAUCUUUAUGCAGUAUUUACUGGGGUUACAUGUUACAUUUCUGUGUGUUUGGCUACUUUAGGCAUUGUCUGUAGCCUGUAUCUGGGCGUUAUGCUGUGUUCGUAGCCUGUAUCUAAGGUGUUAUGCUGUGUCUGUAGCCUGUAUCUAGGUGUUAUGCUGUGUCUGUAGCCUGUAUCUAGGUGUUAUGCUGUGUCUGUAGCCUGUAUCUGGGCUUUUUUGCUUGCACUCGUAUACUGACAUUUCAAUCUCUGCCUCUGUUAGUAAUAUUAAGAUGAACAAAUUACAGCAGAUUGAUCUGAAUGGAAUAUAUUUGUAAAUAUUUUUGUAAUUUGUGCUGGACAUAAAUAAAACCUUUUGUUCU